Molecule: long non-coding RNA, 192 nt
Organism: Corapipo altera (White-ruffed manakin)
Lineage: Eukaryota; Metazoa; Chordata; Aves; Passeriformes; Pipridae
Exons: 3
Source: RefSeq, a predicted model, not a curated record
AACUGGCAGGAUGAGAACCAGCGUGUGGCAGAGGCCUCUCGGAGAGCACUGUUUGGUGCAGCCAGGUUCCUGAAGUGGAGGGACCUUGAGCACUUGGUGACCAUGGAGCAGCCGUGGAGGUUUCCCGAGUGCCUGCUGGAAAAGGACAGGAGCCGAGUGGGCCAGUACGUGCACCAGGCCCUGCCGUACCUG